RNAcentral lists this long non-coding RNA (531 nucleotides) under Equus caballus (horse). RNAcentral describes it as "lncRNA (ENSECAG00000057788.1)". Lineage: Eukaryota; Metazoa; Chordata; Mammalia; Perissodactyla; Equidae. The record is from RNAcentral.
UUCUAAAUCUUCUGGAUCCUCAGAAUAUAAAGAAAUCCUUAUCAGGAAAUAAACACAUCUAAAUAGCAAAAUAUUUAGUUUCAGAAAUAUAGCCAAUUUGAUGUGUCCAAAAUUUUUCUAUCUUAUCCUAUCUAUCUAUCUGUCCAUCUAUGUAUCUGUUCUAUCCAUUGAUCCAUCCAUCCAUCUCUCUCAACAGUUUCUAAGCCACGAUAUCUCAAUAGCAGUACUUUGAAAUAAUCAAUGAAACGAUAACAUCUAAAACCCGUUCUCUACUGAACUUCUUUCCUGCAACCUACAGCUGCCAAGCAAGUCAUUCAAGAGCUGCAGUCAUUUGAAAGGCUCGCAGGUUCAGCUCCUAUUUCAAGGACCUUUCCAUGUUGACAGUACUUUGUUACCUGAACUGCAAGGUACCUUUGCCCUAAAGUUAGCAGAUUUCUUCUGAACUCACAACCAGCCACGAUAAGACAGUACUGCUAAUGCCUUACUCUGAUGUUAUUAAAAACUCUAAUUCGUAGUUUGGAUAACCUGGCC